UGGGGAAUAUUGCACAAUGGAGGGAACUCUGAUGCAGCGACGCCGCGUGAACGAAGAAGGCUUUCGAGUCGUAAAGUUCUUUUAUAUGGGAAGAUAUUGACGGUACCAUAAGAAGAAGCCCCGGCUAACUACGUGCCAGCAGCCGCGGUAAUACGUAGGGGGCUAGCGUUGUCCGGAAUCACUGGGCGUAAAGGGUUCGCAGGCGGAAAUGCAAGUCAGGUGUAAAAGGCAGUAGCUUAACUACUGUAAGCAUUUGAAACUGCAUAUCUUGAGAAGAGUAGAGGUAAGUGGAAUUUUUAGUGUAGCGGUGAAAUGCGUAGAUAUUAAAAAGAAUACCGGUGGCGAAGGCGACUUACUGGGCUCAUUCUGACGCUGAGGAACGAAAGCGUGGGUAGCAAACAGG
Molecule: ribosomal RNA, 403 nt
Filed under: bacterium
Lineage: Bacteria
Description: partial 16S ribosomal RNA
Rfam family: Bacterial small subunit ribosomal RNA
Source: RNAcentral